AGGAGCCAUAGAAGCAUUAACAUCAUGCAUUGGCUGCUGAGCAAAUACUGACCCACCAGCAGUCCCCGCCAUUUGAGGGUUUGGAUAUCCUAUUUGAGGAGGGGGAUGUAAAUAAUCCUGACGAGGAUUCCGAUAUGCCUGGAAAUGAGGUGCAGUUGGUUGAAUGGGCAUUCCGGUUUGUGGUAACUCGUAACCGAAGUGCUGCUGUGAGACAUUAACAGGUGCAGACCUUUCAAAGUCGACUUCAUGUGGGGAGAUUAAAGCUGUAGGAGAAGCGGAGUUGAUAAGUGGAAUACCUAAUGAAACAGAUGAUGAUGUAUCUGCUGCAUAAAGUGGUGGGGAGUUAGGAUCCACUUGCACCAAUCUUGGGGUAAGCCCGCCGCCUGAUGGAGGUCUAGUUAUUUCCCCUUGUCCACUGCUUGAGAUGUUGUCAGCAGCUUCAGCACCACUAAUAUCA
Molecule: long non-coding RNA, 457 nt
Filed under: Linum usitatissimum (flax)
Lineage: Eukaryota; Viridiplantae; Streptophyta; Magnoliopsida; Malpighiales; Linaceae
Description: long non-coding RNA (LUSI_LNC001628)
Source: RNAcentral